Molecule: ribosomal RNA, 557 nt
Filed under: uncultured bacterium
Lineage: Bacteria
Description: partial 16S ribosomal RNA
Rfam family: Bacterial small subunit ribosomal RNA
Source: RNAcentral
UAGGGAAUCUUCCACAAUGGACGCAAGUCUGAUGGAGCAACGCCGCGUGAGUGAAGAAGGUUUUCGGACCGUAAAGCUCUGUUGUUGGUGAAGAAGGAUAGAGGUAGUAACUGGCCUUUAUUUGACGGUAAUCAACCAGAAAGUCACGGCUAACUACGUGCCAGCAGCCGCGGUAAUACGUAGGUGGCAAGCGUUGUCCGGAUUUAUUGGGCGUAAAGCGAGCGCAGGCGGAAGAAUAAGUCUGAUGUGAAAGCCCUCGGCUUAACCGAGGAAUUGCAUCGGAAACUGUUUUCUUGAGUGCAGAAGAGGAGAGUAGAACUCCAUGUGUAGCGGUGGAAUGCGUAGAUAUAUGGAAGAAUACCAGUGGCGAAGGCGGCUCUCUGGUCUGCAACUGACGCUGAGGCUCGAAAGCAUGGGUAGCGAACAGGAUUAGAUACCCUGGUAGUCCAUGCCGUAAACGAUGAGUGCUAAGUGUUGGGAGGCUUCCGCCUCUCAGUGCUGCAGCUAACGCAUUAAGCACUCCGCCUGGGGGAGUACGACCGCAAGGUUGAGACUCU